AGUGGAGGUUGGAUUCAGAGGACAUGCGGAUCAGUGUGGGCUGUGCUGGUCAAGGAGGGCUUCCAGGGAGAGGCAACUGAGGAUUCACUGCAAUUGUUCCUUGAGAAGAUGAGGAUCAGGUCGGGAAUUGGAAACAUCUGAGGGCUAAAUUCAACCUGGCUUCUAAAAUGAACAUGGUCAACAUAGAUCAACUACUGAACUUCUUUUAACCUCUGGCAUCCUGUCUGUGAAUUGUGGGGAGGAAACAGGGUCCACCCGCUGCUGCACAAGAGGGGUGCGUGCAGACCAUCACCUUGUGUCUGCUGUAGCAGGAGACCCCUGGCCAUGCGGGACUGAACCCAUGAUUGCAGCUGAUCUUACUCUGUCUCUUCUCUGUGUGAGUAAAGUGUUGUUCCAUCU
Molecule: non-coding RNA, 399 nt
Filed under: Pongo abelii (Sumatran orangutan)
Lineage: Eukaryota; Metazoa; Chordata; Mammalia; Primates; Hominidae
Source: RNAcentral